AGGAUGAACGCUGGCGGUCUGCUUAACACAUGCAAGUCGAACGGAGUAGCAAUACUUAGUGGCGGACGGGUGAGUAACGCGUGAGAAUCUACCUUCAGGACGGAGACAACAGUUGGAAACGACUGCUAACCCCCGAUGUACCGAAAGGGCAAAUAUUUAUAGCCUGAAGAAGAGCUCGCGUCCGAUUAGCUAGUUGGAGAGGUAAAAGCUCACCAAGGCGACGAUCGGUAGCUGGUCUGAGAGGACGAUCAGCCACACUGGGACUGAGACACGGCCCAGACUCCUACGGGAGGCAGCAGUGGGAAUUUUCCGCAAUGGGCGAAAGCCUGACGGAGCAAGACCGCGUGGGGGAAGAAGGCUCGUUGGGUUGUAAACCCCUUUUCUCUGGGAAGAACGCAAUGACGGUACCAGAGGAAUCAGCAUCGGCUAACUCCGUGCCAGCAGCCGC
RNAcentral lists this ribosomal RNA (448 nucleotides) under uncultured bacterium. RNAcentral's name for it is "SSU rRNA". It matches the Rfam family "Bacterial small subunit ribosomal RNA", at positions 26 to 518 of the family's 1533-position model. The record is from RNAcentral.